Molecule: ribosomal RNA, 216 nt
Filed under: Glomeromycotina sp.
Lineage: Eukaryota; Fungi; Glomeromycota
Description: partial small subunit ribosomal RNA
Rfam family: Eukaryotic small subunit ribosomal RNA (bases 40-216)
Source: RNAcentral
GGGUCAGUAGGUUGGUCGUGCCACCGGUACGUACUGGUCUCACUGAUUCCUCUUUCCUGAAGAACCGUAACGCCAUUAAUUUGGUGUUGCGGGGAAACAGGACUGUUACUUUGAAAAAAUUAGAGUGUUUAAAGCAAGCUAACGCUUGAAUACAUUAGCAUGGAAUAAUGAAAUAGGACGAUCGAUCCUAUUUUGUUGGUUUCUAGGAUUGACGUA